This 46-nucleotide non-coding RNA is filed under the name Schistosoma mansoni. Lineage: Eukaryota; Metazoa; Platyhelminthes; Trematoda; Strigeidida; Schistosomatidae. The record is from RNAcentral.
UUACUGCUGAGGAGUCCCACACUAGGACGAAACAGCCGUCCAGUGU